GAUGAACGCUGGCGGCGUGCCUAAUACAUGCAAGUCGAGCGAACAGACGAGGAGCUUACUCCUCUGACGUUAGCGGCGGACGGGUGAGUAACACGUGGAUAACCUACCUAUAAGACUGGGAUAACUUCGGGAAACCGGAGCUAAUACCGGAUAACAUGUUGAACCGCAUGGUUCAACAGUGAAAGACGGUCUUGCUGUCACUUAUAGAUGGUUCCGCGUCGCAUUAGCUAGUUGGUAAGGUAACGGCUUACCAAGGCAACGAUGCGUAGCCGACCUGAGAGGGUGAUCGGCCACACUGGAACUGAGACACGGUCCAGACUCCUACGGGAGGCAGCAGUAGGGAAUCUUCCGCAAUGGGCGAAAGCCUGACGGAGCAACGCCGCGUGAGUGAAGAAGGUCUUCGGAUCGUAAAACUCUGUUAUUAGGGAAGAACAAAUGUGUAAGUAACUAUGCACGUCUCGACGGUACCUAAUCAGAAAGCCACGGCUAACUACGUG
RNAcentral lists this ribosomal RNA (497 nucleotides) under uncultured bacterium. Its description in RNAcentral is "partial 16S ribosomal RNA". It matches the Rfam family "Bacterial small subunit ribosomal RNA", at positions 28 to 507 of the family's 1533-position model. The record is from RNAcentral.